AACGAACGCUGGCGGCAUGCCUAACACAUGCAAGUCGAACGAGAUCUUCGGGUCUAGUGGCGCACGGGUGCGUAACGCGUGGGAAUCUGCCCUUUGGUUCGGAAUAACAGUUGGAAACGACUGCUAAUACCGGAUGAUGACGAAAGUCCAAAGAUUUAAUCGCCAGAGGAUGAGCCCGCGUAGGAUUAGCUAGUUGGUGUGGUAAAGGCGAACCAAGGCGACGAUCCUUAGCUGGUCUGAGAGGAUGGUCAGCCACACUGGGACUGAGACACGGCCCAGACUCCUACGGGAGGCAGCAGUGGGGAAUAUUGGACAAUGGGCGAAAGCCUGAUCCAGCAAUGCCGCGUGAGUGAUGAAGGCCUUAGGGUUGUAAAGCUCUUUUACCCGGGAUGAUAAUGACAGUACCGGGAGAAUAAGCCCCGGCUAACUCCGUGCCAGCAGCCGCCGUAA
RNAcentral lists this ribosomal RNA (450 nucleotides) under uncultured bacterium. RNAcentral's name for it is "partial 16S ribosomal RNA". It matches the Rfam family "Bacterial small subunit ribosomal RNA", at positions 29 to 523 of the family's 1533-position model. The record is from RNAcentral.